UCAAUAAAUAUUUGUAGAAUGC
This 22-nucleotide non-coding RNA is filed under the name Mus musculus (house mouse). The record is from RNAcentral. Lineage: Eukaryota; Metazoa; Chordata; Mammalia; Rodentia; Muridae. RNAcentral also lists the same sequence under 1 other name.